RNAcentral lists this ribosomal RNA (444 nucleotides) under uncultured bacterium. RNAcentral's name for it is "bacterial SSU rRNA". It matches the Rfam family "Bacterial small subunit ribosomal RNA", at positions 28 to 523 of the family's 1533-position model. The record is from RNAcentral.
GAUGAACGCUGGCGGUCUGCUUAACACAUGCAAGUCGAACGAACUCUUCGGAGUGAGUGGCGGACGGGUGAGUAACGCGUGAGAAUCUGCCUGUGGGUCGGGACAACCACUGGAAACGGUGGCUAAUACCGGAUGAGCCGAAAGGUAAAAGAUUUAUUGCCCACAGAUGAGCUCGCGUCUGAUUAGCUAGUUGGUAAGGUAAAAGCGUACCAAGGCGACGAUCAGUAGCUGGUCUGAGAGGAUGAGCAGCCACACUGGGACUGAGACACGGCCCAGACUCCUACGGGAGCAGCAGUGGGAAUUUUCCGCAAUGGGCGAAAGCCUGACGGAGCAAGACCGCGUGGGGGAGGAAGGCCUUAGGGUCGUAAAGCUCUUUCGCCUGUGAAGAUAAUGACGGUAGCAGGUAAAGAACCCCCGGCUACUCCGUGCCAGCCGCCGCGGUAA